This 1623-nucleotide ribosomal RNA is filed under the name Triticum aestivum (bread wheat). Its description in RNAcentral is "partial small subunit ribosomal RNA". Lineage: Eukaryota; Viridiplantae; Streptophyta; Magnoliopsida; Poales; Poaceae. The record is from RNAcentral.
AUGGCGGUGCCGGCGUGGAUGCGGAGGCAGAUGGACCAGAUUCUGGAGCUGGACAUGGAGGAGCUCGAGGUCGAAGAGGUCGACGACUCCGGCUCGUCCUCCUCCUCCGACGUCGCCACCUUCCUCAGAAAUACUCAUGGAGAUGGAGAGACUAGCACUUCUGGAGAGUUUACAUUCAAUCUGUCUCGGGCUUCCCUGACCACAUAUGUUGGUGAGGUUGAUGAUACCCGGGGCAGAUUUGCUUUCUUGGAUGGUGGUGCAGUCCUCAGUUUACCUAUGCUUUCUCUUCAAGGAUUUGUUUUGUUUCCUGAAGCUACCCUGACUCUUAGAGUAACUCAACCUAGAUUUGCAGCAGCUGUUGACAAGGCUAUUAAUCAUGUUGAUAAUCCAUGCAUGAUAGGUGUGGUUCAUGUCUACGGACAUGUAAAUGAUGGGCAUCAUGCUAUUGCUUCAGUUGGCACAACAGCGGAGAUACUUGAAAUUAGGCGAUUGGAUGAUGGCUCGUCAAAUGUUAUCACUCGAGGUCAGCAGCGGUUUCGCCUUAGGCGCAGUUGGGUCGACAUCGAUGAAGUACCAUGGGGUGAGGUCCAAAUAAUUGAAGAAGACACGCCUUUAAGAACUUCAAGGGAUGCAUUUGGACAGUUAGCUGCAAGUAAUACCUUCAAGAAAUGUGAUUCAUCAGUGCACAGUUUUGGUGUAUCUUGUUUCAAGCAAAAAGAUCUUAUGGAUUCUGAUCUUGAUUUGGAUUCUCUGUCAAACACUAGUACUUCAAGUGACCAUUCAGUAACAGAUACAGGAAUGUACUAUUCCUCAAAUGAAGAUGAAGAUCUCAUGCCUGAACUGUCUUGGCAGAAGCAUGGUUCUGUGAAUGAAUUUGGUGCAUUGAGUCAGCCAGUCAAGGAUACCACCAUCGAUGAUGAUCUUUGCUUUGCAUCCCCUGAAUCCUUAUCAACAGUGAGAGAGAAAGAUGCUGGGCAACAGAGACAAUACCGUGCUGCUUAUAAUUCAAAGAUGGCUCCAUUAUCAUUUUGGCCCCGAUGGGUUUACAAUAUGUACGAUUCAUAUUCACUUGCACGCAAGGCUGCAGAUUUGUGGAAUCAGAUAACUGCAGAGCCAGGCAUGGAUGAUUAUGUGAGAAAACCAGAUAUUUUGUCGUUUCUUAUUGGAAGCAAACUACCCGUGUCAGCGUCUAUGAGACAGGAAUUGCUUGACAUUGAUGGAAUAUCAUAUCGGUUGCUGCGAGAGAUUCAGCUACUCAAGGCCUUCAAUCUCGUACGAUGUAGAAAUUGCCUGGCUCUCAUAGCUAGACGGAGUGACAUGGUGAUACCGUCUAGUGUUGAUCAAUGUGGUGCUCAUGUCAUGCCGUUGUUGUACAAAGGUGCGCAGGAGGUGAUAACAGUGCACAACACGUCUGGGCUCGCACUCCAUGGCAAUCCUUCUGAUGCUCACAGCUGGUUCCCAGGAUAUACGUGGACGAUUGCGCUGUGUGCUGCCUGCGAGUCCAACAUCGGCUGGCUGUUCAGGGCUGACAAAAGGAACCUUCUUCCAAAAUCCUUCUGGGGUGUCCGCAUUUCCCAAACUAAAGAUGGCACACAAUCGGCCAAGGAUCGAUCGUCCGUAUGA